ACAGCUUUCUCUCGCACAUCGUC
Molecule: microRNA, 23 nt
Filed under: Caenorhabditis elegans
Lineage: Eukaryota; Metazoa; Nematoda; Chromadorea; Rhabditida; Rhabditidae
Description: cel-miR-2219-5p
Source: miRBase by way of RNAcentral